GGCCGGGCAAGACCGGUGCCAGCCGCCGCGGUAAUACCGGCGGCUCGAGUGGUGGCCACUAUUACUGGGCUUAAAGCGUUCGUAGCUGGCUUGUUAAGUCUCUGGGGAAAUCUUCCGGCUCAACCGGAAGGCGUCUCAUGGAUACUGGCAGGCUAGGGACCGGGAGAGGUGAGAGGUACUCCCGGGGUAGGAG
RNAcentral lists this ribosomal RNA (193 nucleotides) under uncultured archaeon. RNAcentral's name for it is "partial 16S ribosomal RNA". It matches the Rfam family "Archaeal small subunit ribosomal RNA", at positions 440 to 632 of the family's 1478-position model. The record is from RNAcentral.